This 340-nucleotide long non-coding RNA is filed under the name Brassica rapa (field mustard). RNAcentral describes it as "long non-coding RNA (BRAP_LNC006495)". The record is from RNAcentral. Lineage: Eukaryota; Viridiplantae; Streptophyta; Magnoliopsida; Brassicales; Brassicaceae.
AAAAGGGAGCUUUUGAGGCUCCAUAGGGCGUCCACAUCAGUGGAAAAAAAUUUUCUCGAAAGAUGACACGUGGCAUAAAAUAUAGUUUUACAUUUUAAUAUUAAUUAUUUCGAAAAUUGUAAAAAAUAUGUAAACAUACAGCAUUAAAAAAUGGAAAAACUACAUUAAACAUAUGUAAGAUUACUAUUUUUCACUUAAAAAAAAGACGGUUUAUCUCCAUAAUGUAACAUUACCGUUUUAUAAAAAAAAAACAAAAAACAUUAUAUAUAAUUUCGAAAAUAAUAAAUAUAUGUAAAACAUACAACAUAAAAAUGGAAAUACUACAUUAAACAUAAAUAUG